UACGGGGGGAGCAAGCGUUGUUCGGAUUUACUGGGCGUAAAGGGCGCGUAGGCGGCCACCGCAAGUCGGUUGUGAAAUCUCAGGGCUCAACCCUGAAACUGCAUUCGAUACUGCCUUGCUCGAGGACUGGAGAGGAGAUUGGAAUUCACGGUGUAGCAGUGAAAUGCGUAGAUAUCGUGAGGAAGACCAGUGGCGAAGGCGGAUCUCUGGACAGUUCCUGACACUGAGGCACGAAGGCCAGGGGAGCAAACGGG
Molecule: ribosomal RNA, 254 nt
Filed under: uncultured bacterium
Lineage: Bacteria
Description: partial 16S ribosomal RNA
Rfam family: Bacterial small subunit ribosomal RNA
Source: RNAcentral